RNAcentral lists this ribosomal RNA (247 nucleotides) under uncultured Comamonas sp. RNAcentral describes it as "partial 16S ribosomal RNA". It matches the Rfam family "Bacterial small subunit ribosomal RNA", at positions 796 to 1041 of the family's 1533-position model. The record is from RNAcentral. Lineage: Bacteria; Pseudomonadati; Pseudomonadota; Betaproteobacteria; Burkholderiales; Comamonadaceae.
CACGCCCUAAACGAUGUCAACUGGUUGUUGGGGAUUUAUUUCUUCAGUAACGAAGCUAACGCGUGAAGUUGACCGCCUGGGGAGUACGGCCGCAAGGUUAAAACUCAAAGGAAUUGACGGGGACCCGCACAAGCGGUGGAUGAUGUGGUUUAAUUCGAUGCAACGCGAAAAACCUUACCCACCUUUGACAUGUACGGAAUCCUGCAGAGAUGCGGGAGUGCUCGCAAGAGAGCCGUAACACAGGUGC